RNAcentral lists this ribosomal RNA (253 nucleotides) under uncultured bacterium. Its description in RNAcentral is "partial 16S ribosomal RNA". It matches the Rfam family "Bacterial small subunit ribosomal RNA", at positions 524 to 776 of the family's 1533-position model. The record is from RNAcentral.
UACGAAGGGGGCUAGCGUUGCUCGGAAUCACUGGGCGUAAAGCGCACGUAGGCGGAUCUUUAAGUCGGGGGUGAAAUCCUGGAGCUCAACUCCAGAACUGCCUUUGAUACUGGGGAUCUCGAGUCCGGGAGAGGUGAGUGGAACUCCGAGUGUAGAGGUGAAAUUCGUAGAUAUUCGGAAGAACACCAGUGGCGAAGGCGGCUCACUGGCCCGGUACUGACGCUGAGGUGCGAAAGCUAGGGGAGCGAACCGG